RNAcentral lists this ribosomal RNA (468 nucleotides) under uncultured bacterium. RNAcentral's name for it is "partial 16S ribosomal RNA". It matches the Rfam family "Bacterial small subunit ribosomal RNA", at positions 28 to 507 of the family's 1533-position model. The record is from RNAcentral.
GGCGAACGCUGGCGGCGUGCUUAACACAUGCAAGUCGAACGGAAAGGCCCUGCUUUUGUGGGGUGCUCGAGUGGCGAACGGGUGAGUAACACGUGAGUAACCUGCCCUUGACUUUGGGAUAACUUCAGGAAACUGGGGCUAAUACCGGAUAGGAGCUCCUGCUGCAUGGUGGGGGUUGGAAAGUUUCGGCGGUUGGGGAUGGACUCGCGGCUUAUCAGCUUGUUGGUGGGGUAGUGGCUUACCAAGGCUUUGACGGGUAGCCGGCCUGAGAGGGUGACCGGCCACAUUGGGACUGAGAUACGACCCAGACUCCUACGGGAGGCAGCAGUGGGGAAUAUUGCACAAUGGGCGGAAGCCUGAUGCAGCAACGCCGCGUGCGGGAUGACGGCCUUCGGGUUGUAAACCGCUUUCGCCUGUGACGAAGCGUGAGUGACGGUAAUGGGUAAAGAAGCACCGGCUAACUACGUG